GUUUUUCGCCUGAGGAUGAGCCUAUGUGGGAUUAGCUAGUUGGUGAGGUAAUGGCUCACCAAGGCGACGAUCCCUAACUGGUCUUAGAGGAUGAUCAGUCACACUGGAGCUGAGACACGGUCCAGACUCCUACGGGAGGCAGCAGUAGGGAAUAUUGCACAAUGGAGGAAACUCUGAUGCAGCGACGCCGCGUGAGUGAUGAAGGCCUUCGGGUCGUAAAGCUCUGUCGUAUGGGACUAACAAAAUG
RNAcentral lists this ribosomal RNA (247 nucleotides) under uncultured Bdellovibrio sp. Its description in RNAcentral is "partial 16S ribosomal RNA". It matches the Rfam family "Bacterial small subunit ribosomal RNA", at positions 210 to 456 of the family's 1533-position model. Lineage: Bacteria; Pseudomonadati; Bdellovibrionota; Bdellovibrionia; Bdellovibrionales; Pseudobdellovibrionaceae. The record is from RNAcentral.